CUACGGGUUGCUCCAGUGAGGAAUAUUGCACAAUGGGGGGGACCCUGAUGCAGCAACGCCGCGUGGAGGAUGACGCAUUUCGGUGUGUAAACUCCUUUUAUAUGUCAAGAAAAUGACGGUAGCAUAUGAAUAAGCACCGGCUAACUCCGUGCCAGCAGCCGCGGUAAUACGGAGGGUGCAAGCGUUACUCGGAAUCACUGGGCGUAAAGGACGCGUAGGCGGGUUGGAAAGUCAGGUGUGAAAUCCUACAGCUUAACUGUAGAACUGCACUUGAAACUUCUAAUCUAGAGUAUGGGAGGGGGAGAUGGAAUUAGUGGUGUAGGGGUAAAAUCCGUGGAUAUCACUAGGAAUACCUAAAGCGAAGGCGAUCUCCUGGAACAUUACUGACGCUAAGGCGUGAAAGCGUGGGGAGCAAACAGGAUUAGAUACCCGUGUAGUC
This 439-nucleotide ribosomal RNA is filed under the name uncultured bacterium. Its description in RNAcentral is "partial 16S ribosomal RNA". It matches the Rfam family "Bacterial small subunit ribosomal RNA", at positions 339 to 795 of the family's 1533-position model. The record is from RNAcentral.